UUUUCUUCCAGCUGGAAAUCAUUUUAUUUUUCUGGUCAUAAAAACAAUACGCUCUAUGGCCAGGCACGGGUGGCUCAUGCUCGUAAUCCUAGAACUUAGGGAGGCUGAGGCAGGAGGAUCACUUGAGCCCAGGAGUUCAAGACCAGCCUGAGCAACAUGGUAAAACCCCAUCUUUACAAAAAAUUAACCAGGCGUGAUGGUGCGCACCUGUCGUCCCAGUUAGUCAGGAGGCUGAGGUGAGAGGAUUGUUAAGCCACUGCACCCCAGCCAAGGAGGACAAAGCAAGACCUUGUCUCAAAACAAAACAAAACACUAUCUCCAAAAACAUCAGCCUGUAUACAUCAUUUACAGCUUUUUGUAUGUCAGUCAGUCAUACUGUCAACAAAGCGAUUUAAAUAAUAGAGGGCCAGCACAGUGGCUUACGCCUGUAAUCCCAGCACUUUGGGAGGCCGAGGUGGGUGGAUCACGAGGUCAGGAGAUUGAGACCACGGUGAAACCCCAUCUCUACUAAA
This 512-nucleotide long non-coding RNA is filed under the name Homo sapiens (human). RNAcentral's name for it is "HSALNT0213088". The record is from RNAcentral. Lineage: Eukaryota; Metazoa; Chordata; Mammalia; Primates; Hominidae.